Molecule: ribosomal RNA, 682 nt
Filed under: Allomuricauda sp. xn111
Lineage: Bacteria; Pseudomonadati; Bacteroidota; Flavobacteriia; Flavobacteriales; Flavobacteriaceae
Description: bacterial SSU rRNA
Rfam family: Bacterial small subunit ribosomal RNA
Source: RNAcentral
CUUUUCCGCCGGCGACCGGCGCACGGGUGCGGAACGCGUAUGGAACCUGCCCCUGUCAGGGGAAUAGCCCAGGGAAACUUGGAUUAAUGCCCCAUGGUACCGUUAUAUCGCAUGAUAUUACGGUUAAAGAUUUAUCGGACAGGGAUGGCCAUGCGUACCAUUAGUUAGUUGGUGGGGUAACGGCUCACCAAGGCAGCGAUGGUUAGGGGCCCUGAGAGGGGGAUCCCCCACACUGGUACUGAGACACGGACCAGACUCCUACGGGAGGCAGCAGUGAGGAAUAUUGGACAAUGGGCGGGAGCCUGAUCCAGCCAUGCCGCGUGCAGGAUGACGGCCCUAUGGGUUGUAAACUGCUUUUAUACGGGAAGAAACGCGCCCACGUGUGGGCGUUUGACGGUACCGUAAGAAUAAGGACCGGCUAACUCCGUGCCAGCAGCCGCGGUAAUACGGAGGGUCCGAGCGUUAUCCGGAAUCAUUGGGUUUAAAGGGUCCGUAGGCGGGCCUGUAAGUCAGGGGUGAAAGUUUGUGGCUCAACCAUAAAAUUGCCUUUGAUACUGCAGGUCUUGAGUCAUGGUGGGGUUGCCGGAACAUGUGGUGUAGCGGUGAAAUGCAUAGAUAUCACAUAGAACACCGAUCGCGAAGGCAGGUGACCAACCAUGUACUGACGCUGAUGGACGAAAGC